GAUAAACGCUAGCGGCAGGCUUAACACAUGCAAGUCGAGGGGCAGCAUAGAUUGUAGCAAUACAAUUGGUGGCGACCGGCGCACGGGUGCGUAACGCGUAUGCAACCUACCCGUCACAGGGGGAUAAUCCGGAGAAAUCUGGUCUAAUACCCCAUAACAUAUGGAUCGGCAUCGGUUCAUGUUGAAAUUUUAGGAGGUGACGGAUGGGCAUGCGGAGCAUUAGCUUGUUGGUGAGGUAACGGCUCACCAAGGCGACGAUGCUUAGGGGGACUGAGAGGUUUUCCCCCCACACUGGUACUGAGACACGGACCAGACUCCUACGGGAGGCAGCAGUGAGGAAUAUUGGUCAAUGGGCGCAAGCCUGAACCAGCCAUGCCGCGUGCAGGAUGACGGCUCUAUGAGUUGUAAACUGCUUUUGUACGAGGGUAAAGUGGGUUACGUGUAACCUUUUGGAAGUAUCGUACGAAUAAGGAUCGGCUAACUCCGUGCCAGCAGCCGCCGUAA
This 504-nucleotide ribosomal RNA is filed under the name uncultured bacterium. RNAcentral describes it as "partial 16S ribosomal RNA". It matches the Rfam family "Bacterial small subunit ribosomal RNA", at positions 28 to 523 of the family's 1533-position model. The record is from RNAcentral.